CCUACGGGGGGCUGCAGUGGGGAAUAUUGGACAAGGGGGGGAACCCUGAUCCAGCCAUGCCGCGUGUGUGAAGAAGGCCCUCGGGUUGUAAAGCACUUUCAGUGAGGAAGAACGCCUGGUGGUUAAUACCCAUCAGGAAAGACAUCACUCACAGAAGAAGCACCGGCUAACUCCGUGCCAGCAGCCGCGGUAAUACGGAGGAUGCGAGCGUUAAUCGGAAUUACUGGGCGUAAAGCGCGCGUAGGUGGCUUGAUAAGCCGGUUGUGAAAGCCCCGGGCUCAACCUGGGAACGGCAUCCGGAACUGUCAAGCUAGAGUGCAGGAGAGGAAGGUAGAAUUCCCGGUGUAGCGGUGAAAUGCGUAGAGAUCGGGAGGAAUACCAGUGGCGAAGGCGGCCUUCUGGACUGACACUGACACUGAGGUGCGAAAGCGUGGGUAGCAAACAGGAUUAGAUACCCUAGUAGUC
This 465-nucleotide ribosomal RNA is filed under the name Vreelandella stevensii. RNAcentral describes it as "partial 16S ribosomal RNA". It matches the Rfam family "Bacterial small subunit ribosomal RNA", at positions 338 to 795 of the family's 1533-position model. The record is from RNAcentral. Lineage: Bacteria; Pseudomonadati; Pseudomonadota; Gammaproteobacteria; Oceanospirillales; Halomonadaceae.